Molecule: ribosomal RNA, 486 nt
Filed under: uncultured bacterium
Lineage: Bacteria
Description: partial 16S ribosomal RNA
Rfam family: Bacterial small subunit ribosomal RNA
Source: RNAcentral
AUUGAACGCUGGCGGCAUGCCUUACACAUGCAAGUCGAACGGCAGCACGGGUGCUUGCACCUGGUGGCGAGUGGCGAACGGGUGAGUAAUACAUCGGAACAUGUCCUGUAGUGGGGGAUAGCCCGGCGAAAGCCGGAUUAAUACCGCAUACGAUCUACGGAUGAAAGCGGGGGCCCUUCGGGCCUCGCGCUAUCGGGUUGGCCGAUGGCUGAUUAGCUAGUUGGUGGGGUAAAGGCCUACCAAGGCGACGAUCAGUAGCUGGUCUGAGAGGACGACCAGCCACACUGGGACUGAGACACGGCCCAGACUCCUACGGGAGGCAGCAGUGGGGAAUUUUGGACAAUGGGCGAAAGCCUGAUCCAGCAAUGCCGCGUGUGUGAAGAAGGCCUUCGGGUUGUAAAGCACUUUUGUACGGAAAGAAAUCCUUGGCCCUAAUACGGUCGGGGGAUGACGGUACCGGAAGAAUAAGCACCGGCUAACUACGUG